Molecule: ribosomal RNA, 407 nt
Filed under: uncultured Parcubacteria group bacterium
Lineage: Bacteria
Description: partial 16S ribosomal RNA
Rfam family: Bacterial small subunit ribosomal RNA
Source: RNAcentral
UCGAGAAUCUUCCACAAUGGACGAAAGUCUGAUGGAGCGACGCCGCGUGAUUGAUGAAGUCCCUUUGGGACGUAAAGAUCUUUUAUGAGGGAAGAAGUUUAUUGACGGUACCUCAUGAAUAAGAGGCUCCUAAUCUCGUGCCAGCAGGAGCGGUAAUACGAGAGCCUCGAGCGUUAUCCGGAAUUAUUGGGCGUAAAGGGUGCGUAGGUUGUUCUGUUAGUCAAUUGUUAAAACCCCGGGCUUAACCUGGGAUCGGCGAUUGAAACGGCAGAACUUGAAAGUGCGAGAGGCGUACGGAACUCAUGGUGUAGGGGUGAAAUCCGUUGAUAUCAUGGGGAACACCAAAAGCGAAGGCAGUACGCUGGCGCAUAUUUGACACUGAAGCACGAAAGCGUGGGUAGCGAAUG